GUCGAGGAUCUUCGGCAAUGGGCGCAAGCCUGACCGAGCGACGCCGCGUGCGCGAUGAAGGCCUUCGGGUUGUAAAGCGCUGUCGAGGGGGAGGAAAGCCCGCAAGGGUCUGACUAAUCCCUGGAGGAAGCACGGGCUAAGUUCGUGCCAGCAGCCGCGGUAAGACGAACCGUGCGAACGUUGUUCGGAUUCACUGGGCUUAAAGGGCGCGUAGGCGGGCUGGCCAGUCAGGGGUGAAAUCCUCCGGCUUAACCGGAGAACAGCCUUUGAUACUGCCAGUCUCGAGGAAGGUAGGGGCAUGUGGAACUUCCGGUGGAGCGGUGAAAUGCGUAGAUAUCGGAAGGAACGCCGGUGGCGAAAGCGACGUGCUGGACCUUUUCUGACGCUGAGGCGCGAAAGCCAGGGGAGCAAACGGGAUUAGAAACCCUGGUAGUCC
RNAcentral lists this ribosomal RNA (436 nucleotides) under uncultured bacterium. RNAcentral describes it as "bacterial SSU rRNA". It matches the Rfam family "Bacterial small subunit ribosomal RNA", at positions 354 to 796 of the family's 1533-position model. The record is from RNAcentral.